UGGCGGACGGGUGAGUAACGCGUGGGUAACCUGCCUCAUACGGGGGGAUAACAGUUAGAAAUGACUGCUAAUACCGCAUAAGACCACAGCACCGCAUGGUGCAGGGGUAAAAACUCCGGUGGUAUGAGAUGGACCCGCGUCUGAUUAGGUAGUUGGUGGGGUAACGGCCUACCAAGCCGACGAUCAGUAGCCGACCUGAGAGGGUGACCGGCCACAUUGGGACUGAGACACGGCCCAA
Molecule: ribosomal RNA, 238 nt
Filed under: uncultured bacterium
Lineage: Bacteria
Description: partial 16S ribosomal RNA
Rfam family: Bacterial small subunit ribosomal RNA
Source: RNAcentral